RNAcentral lists this long non-coding RNA (2165 nucleotides) under Zea mays. RNAcentral describes it as "long non-coding RNA (ZMAY_LNC001380)". Lineage: Eukaryota; Viridiplantae; Streptophyta; Magnoliopsida; Poales; Poaceae. The record is from RNAcentral.
ACGCACACGCCAUGAUGCUGGUCUGGGAGUUGAGACCAUGUUGUCGAGCUGAGAAGACCUGAAACGACGCAACAAGCAGUGAAAGCAGUAGCCCGGCAAGCCCCUGCGCGCUCAGCCGAAUCGAAGACCAGCCACUCACCUCAAUCACCACCGAAGUCGUGCCCAGCUCCGUGCAAGUUGCCGACCAGCCUCGGGAAGACACCGCCACACUGUGUCGGGUCGUCGCGCACAGUCGUCUGCUGAGAUUUUUCUCAGGCGAACCGCCUUUCCCCGUCUAUAAAGCGAGCCCGACGCCGCACCGUGAUGCCUGGCACCUCCUCAACUCGCUGUCGUGCACCACAACCCGAGCUGAGCCCGUCUUCUUCUCCCUAGCCGAAGAACCAGCUACCUUCGAUCUCCCCAACGAAGACCGUGACCGUCGAUUCGAGUGGCAGGUGAGCACCUCCUCAACGCAAAUCGCCUCCCUUCAGACUCGAUUGAGCCCUUCUUCUACCUUUCAAGAGCCAUCCACGAGCUCCAGUCAACCAUGGCCAUGGCGCCGAGCAGCAGCCUCCCUACCAUGGCCAUGGCGCCGAGCAGCAGCCUCCCUGUGCUUCUCCCGAAAUCUUCCACUCCAGAGAGAUGCGCUAUGGUCUGAGGGUCAUUUUCCCCCACUCCCUGCCCUCUCCAUCGCCCUCUCCAGAAACUGAUUUGAGCCUUGAGCUCAGCCAUGGUAGCUGCCAGGGAAAGGUCGUGAGCUCUUUGUGUCUGUGUUCCUAACAGGGACCACCUCCGGUGAUUAAAGAAAUAAAUCCCAAGUUCCCUCACGUCAAGACCCACUACCAAGCCACCCCAUGCCAAAACGUCAGCAGCCCAUGUGACCCAAUCUGGCAUCAGUCGUAAUUAAUUUAUUCACUGAACUUGUAAAAUCAAUAACUUACACAUAGUAACUCCGCUUAACCCGAUUCUUUUUCCCAAAUUCAUCUAAAAUCAAACUCUAUUUAAUACAGCUAUAUUUGUGUAAUGUAUUGAUAUGUGUCUGCUCGUAUGAUUAUUUGUGUACAAUAAAAUAGAAUCGAUUCCAUAGGAGAACCCGGAGGAGCCGAGAGAACAGGAAGACGCCGCCGCCGACGCAUACCUGAGCGAAGGCAAGUCUCAUCGACCUCUUACUUUGAUCAUGAUUGCUCCUAAGUGAGGUUAAAUUUAAAACUUGCUAGACACAGGAAUUGCAUGAGACGACACACCGAGAGACUGAGAGAAACCUUUGAUUGAAGCCAUGUUACAUAUUGAUGAUUUGUCAUAUUGCAUAUUAUCUUGAUAAUUGAUGAAACUGGAAUGAGACUGAGACCAGGGCAGUGUGGAAUGCGUUGGUGCAUGCGCUACCGUGGUGGUAGACAUGCGGUCGAGCUCUGUCGUGGUGACAUCUCGGGUUGGAUGGUUUUGGGUGGUUACUGCCCUGGUGAUGAACCGUGAACCAAGUAUUGUGGUGCCAUCUCACCUAACCUUUUCUAGUGCGACCACACGUGCUUGGAUGGGGAAGCCUUAGCCUAAUCCCACUGGCCAGCCUGGUAGUCGUGCCGAGGUGGAUAAGAUUUGGGGUGACCUGUGUGGUCAUGACCCGGGGGUUUGUGGGUGGCUAGGCGAGGUUGUGCCACGGCUGGGUGUCGGCUAAUGUCGAAUGAUCCGUUCCCGAACGGUGACGUGCGUGUGGGUAAAGCGUACACCUCUGCAGAGUUUAUAUAAUUCCGUUCGAAUGGUAUAGACGGGUUACGGUGUGGACACCACCAGUGAAUGAGCCACCUGGUUACAUGAGACAACUGAUGAUGAUGAUAAGGACAUUGGUUUACCUUCAGUAAUGCAUUUGUUAACUGCAUUGUUGUCGUUUGAUCAUUGCAUGAUAAACUGUAACUCCCUCCCUGUAAGGGCGAGGUGGGACUUGCUGAGUACUUUUGUACUCACCCCUUGUUGACUUGAUGCAGAGGAUCCAGAUUUCGUGCCCGAGGACUGCGAGUAGUGUUCGUGCCCUACACCUGAGCUAGAAGUGGUAUCGUUGCCCUAGAAGCCACCAUGACCGACGAGGAGAUUACCCUAGCUUUUAUAUGUUGUACUAUCGCGUUUCUGGUCUAUAUUGUAAUAUUAAUCAAACGUUCUUAGUAAAGCUAUGUAUGACCAUGGUACCACUGUUG